This 74-nucleotide transfer RNA is filed under the name Bacillota bacterium. RNAcentral describes it as "Firmicutes bacterium (anaerobic digester metagenome) tRNA-Gly". It matches the Rfam family "tRNA". Rfam says of the family: Transfer RNA (tRNA) molecules are approximately 80 nucleotides in length. Their secondary structure includes four short double-helical elements and three loops (D, anti-codon, and T loops). Lineage: Bacteria; Bacillati; Bacillota. The record is from RNAcentral.
GCGGGUGUAGCUCAAUGGUAGAGCGCUGGCUUCCCAAGCCAGUAAUGUGGGUUCGAUUCCCAUCAUCCGCUCCA